RNAcentral lists this non-coding RNA (80 nucleotides) under Clostridium cellulovorans. RNAcentral describes it as "c-di-GMP sequence". It matches the Rfam family "c-di-GMP-I riboswitch aptamer". From Rfam's summary of the family: GEMM was predicted in a large-scale screen for bacterial structured RNA regulatory elements. The record is from RNAcentral. Lineage: Bacteria; Bacillati; Bacillota; Clostridia; Eubacteriales; Clostridiaceae.
AUAAAUUAAAGGCAAACUAUGCGGGAGCAUAGGACGCAAAGCCACGGGUCUGAACAUUAAAAGAUAGCCGGGUUGCAUGU